Molecule: ribosomal RNA, 272 nt
Filed under: uncultured bacterium
Lineage: Bacteria
Description: partial 16S ribosomal RNA
Rfam family: Bacterial small subunit ribosomal RNA
Source: RNAcentral
UACGUAGGGGGCAAGCGUUAUCCGGAAUCACUGGGCGUAAAGGGUGCGUAGGCGGCCGAGAAAGUCCGGGGUGAAAGGCUACGGCUCAACCGUAGUAAGCCUUGGAAACUUCUUGGCUUGAGUGCAGGAGAGGUAAGUGGAAUUCCUAGUGUAGCGGUGAAAUGCGUAGAUAUUAGGAGGAACACCAGUGGCGAAGGCGACUUACUGGACUGUAACUGACGCUGAGGCACGAAAGCGUGGGGAGCGAACAGGAUUAGAUACCCCCGUAGUCC